UACAUACUCCCUCUGUUCGGAAUUACUCGUCCAAGAAAUGAAUGUAUCUAGAUGUAUUUUAGUUGUAGAUACAUCCAUUUUGAGACAAGUAAUUCAGAACGGAGGGAGUACUAC
This is a non-coding RNA of Triticum aestivum (bread wheat), 114 nucleotides long. NCBI's taxonomy places the organism in Eukaryota, Viridiplantae, Streptophyta, Magnoliopsida, Poales, Poaceae. The record is from Rfam.